CACGUAGGGGGCGAGCGUUGUCCGGAUUUAUUGGGCGUAAAGAGCUCGUAGGCGGCUCAGUAAGUCAGGUGUGAAAACUCCAGGCUCAACCUGGAGACGCCACCUGAUACUGCUGUGGCUAGAGUCCGGUAGGGGAGCAUGGAAUUCCUGGUUUAGCGGUGAAAUGCGCAGAUAUCAGGAGGAACACCAGUGGCGAAGGCGGUGCUCUGGGCCGGAACUGACGCUGAGGAGCGAAAGCAUGGGGAGCAAACAGG
This 254-nucleotide ribosomal RNA is filed under the name uncultured bacterium. RNAcentral describes it as "partial 16S ribosomal RNA". It matches the Rfam family "Bacterial small subunit ribosomal RNA", at positions 524 to 776 of the family's 1533-position model. The record is from RNAcentral.